Non-coding RNA from Caenorhabditis elegans, 150 nucleotides. NCBI's taxonomy places the organism in Eukaryota, Metazoa, Nematoda, Chromadorea, Rhabditida, Rhabditidae. The record is from Ensembl.
AAGAAGAGAGGAAAUGAUAAAGCACACAGAUCACGUAUCUGUUCUCUGAUGAGCUCCUGUCAAAGGUGGGCUUGUGUCGAAAAGUGAUGAAGUCGAGACAAAAGUGAGAAAAAGUCGGAUGGAGAAUGAGGCAUGAAAAGAAGAUAUCAA